This 486-nucleotide ribosomal RNA is filed under the name uncultured bacterium. RNAcentral's name for it is "partial 16S ribosomal RNA". It matches the Rfam family "Bacterial small subunit ribosomal RNA", at positions 30 to 507 of the family's 1533-position model. The record is from RNAcentral.
AUUGAACGCUGGCGGCAUGCCUUACACAUGCAAGUCGAACGGCAGCACGGGUGCUUGCACCUGGUGGCGAGUGGCGAACGGGUGAGUAAUACAUCGGAACAUGUCCUGUAGUGGGGGAUAGCCCGGCGAAAGCCGGAUUAAUACCGCAUACGAUCUACGGAUGACAGCGGGGGACCUUCGGGCCUCGCGCCAUAGGGUUGGCCGAUGGCUGAUUAGCUAGUUGGUGGGGUAAAGGCCUACCAAGGCGACGAUCAGUAGCCGGUCUGAGAGGACGACCAGCCACACUGGGACUGAGACACGGCCCAGACUCCUACGGGAGGCAGCAGUGGGGAAUUUUGGACAAUGGGCGAAAGCCUGAUCCAGCAAUGCCGCGUGUGUGAAGAAGGCCUUCGGGUUGUAAAGCACUUUUGUCCGGAAAGAAAUCCUUUGUCCUAAUACGGUCGGGGGAUGACGGUACCGGAAGAAUAAGCACCGGCUAACUACGUG